RNAcentral lists this long non-coding RNA (427 nucleotides) under Phasianus colchicus (ring-necked pheasant). RNAcentral's name for it is "lncRNA (ENSPCLG00000018959.1)". Lineage: Eukaryota; Metazoa; Chordata; Aves; Galliformes; Phasianidae. The record is from RNAcentral.
GGGAUAACGGGGACAGAUGGGGACAGAUGGGUCCCUAUAGGGGCAGUGGGGGACAUGGGGACAAUGGGAUUGGAGACAUUUGGGACCUCAUGGGGACAAUGGGGACAGACGGGUCCUUAUAGGGGCAGUGGGGUACAAUGGGGACAGAUGCGUCCCUAUAAGGGCAAUGGGGGACAUGGGGACAGUGGGGUUGGGGCCAUUUGGGACCUCAUGGGGACAGACGGGUCCUUGUAGGGGCAAUGGGAUACAAUGGGACCAGCGGCGUUGGGGACAAUGGGGACAUUUGGGACCCCGCCAUGACACGGUGUCCCCCCUGUCCCCCCCCCCAGGACGGGCAGCUGAGCCGGGAGGAGAUCCUGGGCAACUGGCAGAUGUUCGUGGGCAGCCAGGCCACCAACUAUGGCGAGGAUCUGGAGCGGCCCCACGA